GGAGAAGUACCCAAGUUGGUGAAGGGGCGUGCCUGCUAAGUAUGUAGGGUGGAGCAAUCCGCCGCGAGAGUUCGAGUCUCUCCUUCUCCG
Molecule: transfer RNA, 90 nt
Filed under: Ruminococcus sp.
Lineage: Bacteria; Bacillati; Bacillota; Clostridia; Eubacteriales; Oscillospiraceae
Description: tRNA-Ser
Rfam family: tRNA
About the family: Transfer RNA (tRNA) molecules are approximately 80 nucleotides in length. Their secondary structure includes four short double-helical elements and three loops (D, anti-codon, and T loops).
Source: RNAcentral